This 1730-nucleotide long non-coding RNA is filed under the name Sarcophilus harrisii (Tasmanian devil). Its description in RNAcentral is "lncRNA (ENSSHAG00000029747.1)". The record is from RNAcentral. Lineage: Eukaryota; Metazoa; Chordata; Mammalia; Dasyuromorphia; Dasyuridae.
CUCAGGUCAGCGGAGUAAGAAUUAAGUAGAAGACAAAGAAAGAGGAUGGGUGGGGUAAGCCUUAGUGCUCGCCACUCUGGAGGUAUGGGAGCUGAGUCACAGAAAGCCCAUACAUCCCGCUUUCCGCAGUAUUAGGGAGGCCCGUCAGCGGAUGGGUUUUUCUGGAUUUAUGCCUAAAGACAAUGCCAAUUUUCAAAGGGAAUGGUCGCAUGUCACGUCCCAGCUGAUCUAGAGAAAGGAAGCAGUGCAAGCAGAGAAAGAGUUAAGUCAGCCUCACUAUGACAUCAGCCUCAUUUGCAUGGGAGGGAGGAUAUAGCUGCUCCGCAGAGCUCCGUACGCUACAGUUCGGAGCUGCCGCCUUGGAGAGCUGACUUACUGGUGCGCCCUGCCCGUCACUGGUGAGGAUCCCGCUCCCGUUUCUCUUUUCUUCCCUUCCCCUUGUUUGAGCAUCUCUAGACUUAACAACUUAAUCUGCAAAAAUGUCUGACAAACCAGAUAUGGCCGAGAUUCAGAAAUUCGAUAAGUCUAAAUUGAAGAAGACAGAAACACAAGAGAAAAAUCCACUGCCUUCAAAAGAAACAAUUGAACAGGAGAAGCAAGCGGGUGAAUCGUAAUGAAAUCUGCCCUGCCAAUAUGCACUGUACAUUCCACAAGCAUUGCCUUCUUAAUUUUACUUCUUUUAGCUGUUUAACUUUGUAAGAUGCAAAGAGGUUGGAUAAAGUUUAAAUGACUGUGCUGCCCCUUUCAACAUCAAAAGAAUAAAGAACUACUGACACUGAAUUGAAAUGAAGGCCCAGCCGGCUGCCUCUUUCCAUCUGCCUGUCCUGGCUAGUUUGGGUCCUGGUGGCAUUUAAAAAAAAAUUUUUUUUUUUUUUUUUUAAAGAGCUUGCAUGUUGGUGAAAAGAAGAACUCGGGUGGGACUACAGUAAAUCUAGUUAACAGUAAAAUGCAAAGCUGUACCAAGGUCCUGGCAAGCUGUAAAAUGCAGUUAAUCAGAGUGCCAUUUUUUUUUUUGUUCAAAUGAUUUUAAUUAUUGGAAUGCACAAUUUUUUUAAUAUGCAAAUAAAAAGUUUUAAAAUCUGGCUGGUAUUGCUGUGUAAUCUUUGGAAGAUCAAUGUUGCAAGAAGAAACCUUGAGGGUCUGUCAGUGACUUCACAAUGGUAGGGGCUUCCUUUGGAAAAAGCAAUAAAUACUCCUCAAAAUUGGUUUUUCUAUGUUGGGUAAAUCCUAUUGCAGAUAAGAAUUUUCAUCCUGAUUAUGUAAAAUAUCUAUAUGUAACUAGCAUUAUGUACCAGUUACUCAUGACUUUGUUUUCUUAGAUUUACUUUUAUUAGAAUUUGUCUUUAUUUACCUGUGAUGAUCAUGUUAAAGUAUUGUGGAAGGAAAUUGCUAUAUCCACAUUUUGCGAUUCUUUUUGUAUGACCUCACUGGAGAUCAGUUUGCAAUUUAAAUAGCACUUCAUAAAAUUAAUCAAUUGCAUUGCAAUUUGCAUUGGUGCAAAUAGAGCCUGGAUGAGAAUUUUCUAUUUAGUCACAGAGGGGUUAUACAUGUGCUUUCACCUUAUUGUUGGCCUAAUUUCUAUUGAAUGGUAAAAUCUUUUUUUCCAAAUAACAGUUCUGAUUUUGAAAGUUCACUGUUAAAAAAAAAAAAGUUCAUUGUACCAUCUUGUAUUUGUUUGCAUAAUAAACCUUGAUGGACUAAAAGUAGAGUAGCUGGCAAUUUUGAGUGAC